AACGCGAAGAACCUUACCUACCCUUGACAUGGUCGGAAUCCCGCUGAGAGGUGGGAGUGCUCGAAAGAGAACCGGCGCACAGGUGCUGCAUGGCUGUCGUCAGCUCGUGUCGUGAGAUGUUGGGUUAAGUCCCGCAACGAGCGCAACCCUUGUCCUUAGUUGCUACGCAAGAGCACUCUAAGGAGACUGCCGGUGACAAACCGGAGGAAGGUGGGGAUGACGUCAAGUCCUCAUGGCCCUUAUGGGUAGGGCUUCACACGUCAUACAAUGGUCGGAACAGAGGGUUGCCAACCCGCGAGGGGGAGCUAAUCCCAGAAAACCGAUGUAGUCCGGAUUGCACUCUGCAACUCGAGUGCAUGAAGCUGGAAUCGCUAGUAAUCGCGAUCAGCAUGCC
This 394-nucleotide ribosomal RNA is filed under the name uncultured Burkholderia sp. RNAcentral's name for it is "bacterial SSU rRNA". It matches the Rfam family "Bacterial small subunit ribosomal RNA", at positions 958 to 1358 of the family's 1533-position model. Lineage: Bacteria; Pseudomonadati; Pseudomonadota; Betaproteobacteria; Burkholderiales; Burkholderiaceae. The record is from RNAcentral.